GCGCCGGUAGUUCAUCGGUAGAAUGUGAGCUUCCCAAGCUUGAGAGGCGGGUUCGACGAAGUUCCGCCCAAGCGGAACGUAGAUGGGGCGAUCCAGAGGAUCGAUCUCGAAGGGAUUUCGCUUUAGCGGAACCACUCCCGCUCGGCGCACCA
Molecule: transfer RNA, 152 nt
Filed under: Opitutaceae bacterium
Lineage: Bacteria; Pseudomonadati; Verrucomicrobiota; Opitutia; Opitutales; Opitutaceae
Description: tRNA-Gly
Source: RNAcentral